This 852-nucleotide long non-coding RNA is filed under the name Zea mays. Its description in RNAcentral is "long non-coding RNA (ZMAY_LNC002935)". The record is from RNAcentral. Lineage: Eukaryota; Viridiplantae; Streptophyta; Magnoliopsida; Poales; Poaceae.
AACAUAAUUUAUCAUAUUCUUCCCGUGGGGUCAGAUACAGAUGAAGGAGCAGAAGCACAAAACAGUCUUUCAAACCGUUUCUAAGCAGAUUGGAAGAGGUAACAAACCUAGGCUGGUCGUUCCUGACGAAUGACCAGUUGAGGAUUGUGACCGGACCAGUCAACAUUCCCUUCAUGGGACGAGGGGUCAUGCUCUGUGCCAUCUUGGACCAGAAAACAGUCAUGGGGUUCGGCCGGCUGACAUCACCGUAGAUAAUGGGUGGCUUCACACAGCGUGAUCCAUAGGAUUGCACCCAUCCGUUGGCAGUGAACGCAAAACCAGAUAAUUGCUCACCGAAGUACUCAACCAUGUCAUUUCUCUGUAAAUACAUAGGCAUUUACAUAAAUAAGUAAAUAUUUCACCUUCGACAAACAUUAAUAUCAAUAUCCUAAAAGAACUUGUUAUUUUUAGUGAUCCAGACAAAAAAAAAGCUAAUGCAGGUAGUCUACAAUAAACAAAGCAUUACACUGAAAUGCUCACCUCUGGCUCUCCAUGCACAAGCACAUCAAUGUCAAGCUCCUCUUGGAUCUUGACGACCUUGCUGAUUUCUUCCUUGAUGGCACUGAUGUAUUCGUCCUCGGUGAUCCUGCAAUGACACAUUUUCAGUAAGAAAAUGAAUACGAUAAAAAUAUAAUAAUAAUAAUAAUAUAUCCAUAGACACUUACUUCUUUGCCUUGUAUUCACGGCGAACCCUCCUGAGUUCCACAGUCUGAGGGAAUGAACCAAUUGUGGUUGUGGGAAGGACAGGAAGGUUGAGCUUUUUCUGCUGAGCAUCCAAUCUAGCAGAAACAGUGGUAGAACGGCGGUGGUCAG